UGACAGAUGGGAAGAUAUUUCCACUUAAACAAAACAUAAACCACGUGAACAACACCCUUCAAGUGUUGGUAGUGGGUCUUGAACUCUACAAAGAUAGAUGGAGGGAGUAUGAAUGUGAAAACCUAGUGCAACAUUUGAGUAAUUGUUAAUUUUAACUUUUAAGGGCGGAAGAUUCUGUUAAGAAAACGGAGGGAAUAGGUUUUAUUGGAACAAUUAGAAGUACAGUACUUUUAUUAUCAUCAAUAUGAUCAUUUACAUAAGUUUGAAAACACAUUGAUGGAGCUGUCUCGUCGCCGACGAACAUCGCCAGCCAAUUUUGGGCGAUGCAAUGCAGCUUCCGACAAUCUUCGAACAUUGGUUCAAGUUGUGGAUUGAAUGCUUGUAUUUGGUCCAGUGAAACGACAUUUUACGAUUUUGAGUAUUGCCAUUGUGAUUAAUUGGUUAUUGGAUUAAUCUGAUAUUGUUUGUGUAAUCAUCAUUACGGUCGGUUUAUGGAGUUCUUGAUCGAGUUUUAUUGAUGAUGGAGAUAUUCAUAUAUGUUUAUACAGAACCGAGGAUUAUUGGCCGUUGUGUGUAGUUGCUUGAAUGCCAAUAUGCCAUUGGAUUUUAACUACAAUGUGGCUGUACUGGGUUUAGUUUCCUUGAUUAAUUUGUUGGCAUGAUAAGCAGAAUUAUGUCGUGGUUAAGAAUUGACAGGUUGAGGUGCUUAACUAUCAGAAAGUAUUGCUCUGGGUGAAUGCAGGGGCUAAAGGGGAUAUAUGAAGUAGAGUAGCAACUGGUGGUUAGACUGUUGUGAUUUUCUCUUUUUGGGUUACUUAAUUUCCUCCUUAAAGUGAGAUCUUUGUGAUGGAGAAAAUACUCAAAUCCUAAAAUCAAUUCUCAGAAUUUUUAAAUUUAAAUGAAGGAUUUUCUUUCCACUGCUGUUUGGAUUGAACGAAGUUCUGCUGCAGCUAUCCCAUUUCAAGAUUCUCGUUUUAAAAUCCUUUCAGUAUUGUUGUUUUAUAGACGUUUUGUUAAGGUGGACAGUUGUGAUGAGUUCCCUGGACAUGUUGUUUAUUGCCAAGCUCUUCAGAUGAACGGAUGGAAUAUGUUAUUUGCCUGCUAGUUCAUCCUAUGCCUUUGAGGACCUAAGAUUAUAUCUCAUUAUUCAAACAUGCUCUAUCAACAAAUCUACUGGAAGUAGUAACUCUAUUGUAGUGCUAGACUGCUAUUUCUCUGAGAGGAUGCGUUGACAUCAGUACAGUGCUUAUAAGAUGACCAGCAGCCACGCCUUUUGUUGGUAUUGGGAGUCUUUAAAGUUUCGAUUUCAAAUGGAUGGUAGCAACUUUGUUUAAGGCUAUUGAUCUGGCUUGGUGAAUUUGGGCUGUCAAUAGCUGCCUUUAUUGGUGGCUACCUGAUAAAUUGUUGAAAUUUUCAUGUUGAGAAGCAAUGGUAUCCUGCAGGUGCUUGAUCUUGUUUGAGUUUAAAACUGAAUAAGCGACAAGGGUAUAUACCAGUGCUUGUAAUUUUGAGAAAUUUUAGCAUCAAUGACGAGGAGAAUUGACCUUGCAAUCCUCUCAUGAUUGUUAUGCUUACCAGCGUCAUCGGUGCAGGUAAUCUCAGUCCCAUGGAGAAUUAUUCUAGUUCUCAGCUCUCUACUGUAUUGACUUUAAUGUCAGAAUUUAUAAUUAUACUUUCGUAUUUUUCCUGUUCUUGGCGUGGUUCAAAUUUUGUUAGGAAAUAACUCUUGUUGUGAAAAUUGCAGUAUUUAUUGCAAACUUGUUAACACCUUUUCUAUCUUAACCCUUACAACAAUUUCUGUGCAGUACUCAUCAGACAGAAACUUCGUCAUCUAUUUAUAGUUUUGCCUGUUUAUAAUGAAAAUAGCUAAACUCUCAUGCUAGGUAGUGCUUAGUAGCCUAUUUUGUUUUCUCUGACUUGUUAUUAUUAAUGUCUUAGCUCACACUCUUCACAGACAGACCACAUUUUUUGACAGGAUUUUCUGAUAAUAGGAAUCUUUUUGUUACUGAACAAUCGUCGUCUGUUAUGUUUUUAUGCUGCUUCAUGCAGUGUUAUUGUGAUGAAGAAAGAACCUAUUUAGACUUUGAUUACACUAAUUAAAAUGCUUAAUUAAAUCUUUAACUUUGUCAGAAUUUUCUUCCUGUGUUGGAAUUCUUUCUUUUUUCUAAAUGAUCAAAUUUGAUAUCACUGGUGUUAGUCAAAAUUACAGUAGGACUGUGAUUAGACAAAUUUGGUGCAAAAUAGUGUGCCAUUUGAAAUUUUCGUACAUUUUGUUACUACAUAGAAACAUUUCAAACUAUGGCGAGUUGGUGAAUGUUUUAUGCGUUGACGUGUCCCCUCUGGGAAUGUGAAUGGAUUAACAAACGACUAUUAGUUUUGGACAAUGGAAAUUAAGUGUAUUUUAGAGAUAUAAGUAUGAGACUCUGUAAUCUGACAUCCUACAAUAUGAUGGUUGGUUUCUACUAAAUUUUGCCUCCAAGCUGUCUAGCAAUCUAGACUGCAAUUCCUUGACCCAAAAACUUGUUCAUAUGAUUGCAUGUUACCUAUAUUCGAAUCUCCCAUGCUGAUGGUCAGUGGAUGCUCAUGCUUGUUCACACGAGCUUUGGCUAUUCUGAUUUGUGUCUUGACUGAUCAUUUAUAAUUUAAGUUUCUAAAUUAUCAGGAUUAUCACUGGACACUCAAUAUCUAUAGCUUCUAUUAUUUCUCCUCCUAGACUAUAAAUUUUAGAAUAUUUGACAUCUUUUCUCAUAGUACCCUUACACCUCUUCUGUUUCUUAGGUAUGUACUCCCCAAAGAUAUAUGUGAAUAGCCCAUGUGUUAGUUUUGAGCACUUAGGAUUUUAGGAGUAAGAAUUGUGACAUCUUGAGAUACAAAACAGGUGGUUGUAUUAUGCUCUUCAUUCGGUAGUUAUGGGGAAAAUACGCAAUAUAUUGCAACUGCAAUUAUUUUGUGCAUCUAUUUUCUUCUUUGACUUUCAAAUGUAUCGAAUUUUUCUAAUCAUACAUGUUUAAUAUCAAAACCUAUGUUACCCAGACCUAAUAUGAUGUUGUGGCCUAUAAAGAGUGUGAAAGGAGCCUUUGGGUUUAGGCCUCUAACUACGCUUUACUAGAGUAGAUAAAGAGGAAGUUAGCUAGAACCAGUGUGGCCUGGAACUGAUCACUAUUAUGGAAUGUAGAAUACCAGCUAGGUCAAGUAACUAAGCAAACCAACUACUACUAAAUUCUUGAAGAAAACCAAAUUUGGCUGCCUAGUGGCCCUAGUCUGAUUUGUAUCAGUGCUGAUCCGCGAUUCAGAUCAAUGAAUCAAGUUCAGAAUUGCGGAUAAGCAAAUUUGGCAACCCCUAGGAUUGUCCCGGGAUAUUAGUUACGUCAAUCUAGCUAGACAGCGAGCAGCCUCAUGACAGUCACCAAAGCAAAAAGAGAAAGACAAGGAAUCAAAAUUCCUUGGGGCUAAGGCACCUUCAAAAAUAAGUUGGUAGCUUAGUCGCCCCCAUGCCUACAUUGCUCUUUCAAGGCUUGAAUCACAAUCUGUGUAUCACCCUCCACUUCUACCUUUCUCCAGUCCAUGAGUGAUCUUUAGCCAAAGUUUCACCCAACUCAGGUCCAAUUACGAUAAACAAAUUUGUUACCUGAUUUUACAGUAUAGUUCAAUAGGAAUUAUUUAUUUUUAUACUGGGAACUGAGAACAUAUAUCUUUGAACUCUUUAUAGUUUGUAAAAAAAUAAGGUCACUGAUAAGCUCAUAGAAAUGUUUUCACUGUGGAAAUGUUGGUACCAGCUUUCAGAAAUUGGGUAGUUCAUCAAUUUGAUCUAUGCAUUUCCAGUUUUCCAGAACCCCAAUAUUAGCAUUUUAAAUUGGUGAAAAUUUAGUUUCAGAUAUUGCUGGUUUUUAAUUGCUUAAUACGGAAUAUUAGUUUCUGUACCUAAAGCUAACCAAAACAAUAUGCAACUUUGUUCAAGCAGUUACAUGUUUCAAAAUAUAUAAGCUUUAGCUGGCUGCCUGACAGUAUUAGUCUAAAUGGCAAAACUUUACCUGCCUCUUUUUUUUUUUUUUUUUUUUUGUUGGUGUGUGUGUGCUGAAUUGUGCUAGUUGAUACCUUUCAUUACCAUGUACAGAUAUUAGGUUCUUGGCUAAAAUUACAGCAUAUUCAAUGUGCCAGAGUGCCAGACAGAGCUUGAAUUUUUAAUUCCCGUGCUUGUAAAAGGUUUGUCUUGUUCAUAAUUUUAAUUGAACUUAAAAUGUUUACUACUACUAUUUCACAUGCACCAACACAAGGGCACAAUGAAUAGGAUUCUCAUUCAUGCUUAAACAGGCAAAUUUUUAUUGUAUGCUAAAAUUACCUUUGUCGUGUUUGUUUUUCACAAAAGAUGGCUUGUGAGAUGCCACGUUUGUUUUUCACGAAAGAUGGCUUGUGAGAGAAACCUAACUAAUGGCUGGGCCACUAGCUCUCCACUGUCAGGCUGUGAUUCAAGUUUUGACCAUUUGAACAUUAAAUUGUCUUUGGUUUCCAUACGUGUAAAGAUAUGCAUCUCAUCCGUUUUCUAUCCCAUUGCUCUGAUAAAAUCCUUAAAUUCUAUAACUAUUGCUCAUAAUCCUGGGAAAAUGUAGCAAAUAGUGAAGGAAAUUGCAUGUGUUUUCUGUUGUGCAAGAUGUCUUUUUGCAGCAUUUGGUAUAUUCAUUUCGUGCGUAAUAUCUUGACUAGCACUAAUGCUUGCAAUCAGAAAUUGGCAUUUGAUUAUGGUUGCAUACGAAAUAUGGGCCUUCAGCAACUGGUAUCUUUAGGCCCACCCUCUAAUGUUUCCUAGCUGCUGGAUGCUAUAAAUUGAAGCUCCCACUAUAAUAUUCAGUGUUCUGUAGUGUACAUACUGCAUUUUACAUGUUUGUAUACAAUUUAUUGCUUAGUGAGAUUACUGAGAUACACUUUACAUGUUUGUAUAGUAAUAAUUACUUUGUAAUCUAAUAAGUUCUGGUAUUGGGAUUGGGUUAUGAUUAGGAGUUAUUCAUUGGAAUAUUGACUGAAUUGGACUGUUAGUUGGGACUGGUAGAUGAUCUUUGCCUACUUGAUCUUUAUUAAUUAUGAGCAUCAUGAAAACUAAAAGCAUCAUCACUGCUGUGGAAACUCAUAUUCCCACAAUGGAAAGAUGAGAUAAAAAUUUGAAUUUGGCAAAAGAUCGAAGGGCGUUUCGUGUCCGAAACUAUUACUUGUUUUGCUACACUUUCUGCGGAACACGGAAUUUGCACUUUGAGCUUAAUCUUAAUAGAUGUUGAUUGUGAUAAAAAUUGUCACCUUAAUUAGCUUACUUUACCGUAGUACAAGCAUCAAUACUUUCUUAAACCAUUGUUUCUUUCACUGUCUUACGUUUUCUAUUUUUCUGGUGUCAUGCUCUCAACGUUUAUGUUUACAUUCACCCUUUCUGAAUUACAUUAACAUAACAACUUUUUUCCUUUCUUUGUCUCUGUUGCUCUUUGCUCACAAGUAUUGUGUAAUUUGUGUUGAUGUUUGAUUGGUAUCGUUGCAUAUGCAAACUUGAUGAGUAUAUUCGGAGUUAAAGUAAUUGUGUAGGUGAAUAAGUGUAAUUUUGUUCAGAUGAGAUCUCUUUUAGGUACCUGUUGUGCUGCAUAUACUUGACCUAAGGCUUCUUAUAUAUCAAUAUUUCCUUAGUAUCCUUACCUGUCUUUAGCAAAUAUUCAUAUUGCUUUUUCACCAUGUUGAUAGAUACCACCUUUUGAAACCUUAUAUAAUUCUUGUUAGGUUGGGGACUAUAUCAAACUUAUAGGUUUUUAUGCUAUUAGUGUCAAGAGAAAGGGACUAAAAAUGUUCGAGUUUAUAUAAUUGGCUGUGGAAGGUAAGUGGUGGGUUUGUGUUUUCCUUCCUAAUCAUUUUAACAUUAGGAUAUGUUUUCUUGAUUGGGAAAGGAAAAUUUAUACGUCUAUUUCCGUUCCUUUCCCUCUCUCCAUAUCUGUUUACACACUGUUAGUCUAGGAUUAUGGAGAAUACCACGGAAAUUGUUCUGGCUGUGGCGAAUGGAUAUGCAAUGCCAUUAAUUAGUAUCAAUGUUAUUUAGACCUUAAUAACGUGUCGUAAUGAUCUAAUGGACGGAUGAAGUUUUGGUCCAGGACCAUCCAAUAAUUAUUCAAGGAAUAGGUUUUUUUGUGGCAGGGAGGAGGGUUGUUACUAUUAGUUUCAAUUAAUAUGAAGGGACAAAUAUAGGUUGAAGAAUUUAUUUCCUUUGAAACUUGAGCUAUUGUGGCCUGUGAUUGCAUUCAUGAAUGAGUGACAUAUAUAUGCAAGGACAAUCAUCAAAGCCAUUGUUCCUAUAAGCCCUUUUUCUUUUGUUAAAUUGUGGUCACAUUGUUUGUCUUUUAUUUGCAGGGUCCCUAAAUAUCUCUUGCACAUUCAUAAUCAUCAUUUUUAUCAUCUAAAGGCAUAUAAUUAAGUUUGGUACGUGGGUAGUUUUUCAUCUGCUUGUCCAAAACAACCAUCAUAUCUUAUUUUCAAGACAUCAACUAAUGACUGUUUGUUGAACCUCAAUAACAAAGUUAGAUUGUUUCUUGAAAGGAAAAGGAACUUAGGAAAUUUAUUAAAUAUAUGAUCUUGCCAGUAUCUUCAUUAACUGCUUAUAAGAAUUACCGUCACGGCACUCAUAAUUAGUCCCAAUUAUUGUCAUUAAUUUUUUUUUGCUGGCUUCACUUAUUGUCAAAACUGUGAGAUCACCCCAUUAAUCUCAAGCACAGUUGCAAACAUGAUAAUGGUCAUGUAACCACUUUUGCAGGUAAUGUUGCUGCGUUUGGGGAUGUCAUAGUGUCAUACAUAGUCGCGGUAAGAUCGAAAACCUUGAUUAUAUCCAUGUAACCACUUUCCCAGGCAAUGUUGCUAGGUUUGGGGCUGUCGUACACAGCCGCGCUAAGAUAAAAAACCUUUACAAUAAGACGGCAGUCGGUUGAUGCCUGUUGCCAUAUUAAUAAUGCUUAUUAGUUAUUACAAAUUGAUAUCUUGAGCAUAUGCUAAUUGACCUUUUGUAAUGUUUGGUACAUUAUGUUUCAAAUUUGUUAGGUUUAUCAUUAUGAGGAAGACUAAGGAGGAAGAUGGUGAAAGGCUGAAAGCAAACAGAGACAGUUGGAAAGGAAGAGAGAGAAAGAAAUAAGAAUGUGCACCAACUUCUUUUUCCAUUAGAUUAACAUAAAUCAUAUAUGGCGGUGGUUACACUGAUCAUAUUUUUGUACUUUGAUAAUUACAAUAGUUUUUGUAUUAAAUCAGAUAUUGAUGAUUUAAUGUGAUGGAGCUUUCGUUAGUUUAUGUAAUGUACUACUGAGUUCUGUGUACAAUAAAUAUUGAAGGCGUGGGUCAUACUCAUUUGUCUGCCUCUUUUUUAGUUUUUCUACAUUUCAUAAAUAAAUUUACAACCACCUAUUAUUAUUUCUCAUUC
Chenopodium quinoa (quinoa) is the source of this 7426-nucleotide long non-coding RNA. RefSeq lists it as uncharacterized. The record is from RefSeq and is a predicted model, not a curated record. The transcript is spliced from 2 exons. NCBI's taxonomy places the organism in Eukaryota, Viridiplantae, Streptophyta, Magnoliopsida, Caryophyllales, Amaranthaceae.